RNAcentral lists this ribosomal RNA (253 nucleotides) under uncultured bacterium. Its description in RNAcentral is "partial 16S ribosomal RNA". It matches the Rfam family "Bacterial small subunit ribosomal RNA", at positions 524 to 776 of the family's 1533-position model. The record is from RNAcentral.
UACGGAGGGUGCAAACGUUGCUCGGAAUCAUUGGGCGUAAAGCGCACGUAGGCGGUCCGUUAUGUCGGGUGUGAAAGCCCUCGGCUUAACCGAGGAAGUGCAUUCGAAACUGGCGGACUUGAGUACCGGAGAGGGUCGCGGAAUUCCCGGUGUAGAGGUGAAAUUCGUAGAUAUCGGGAGGAACACCAGUGGCGAAGGCGGCGACCUGGACGGAUACUGACGCUGAGGUGCGAAAGCGUGGGGAGCGAACAGG